RNAcentral lists this long non-coding RNA (1165 nucleotides) under Rattus norvegicus (Norway rat). Its description in RNAcentral is "long non-coding RNA NONRATT006441". Lineage: Eukaryota; Metazoa; Chordata; Mammalia; Rodentia; Muridae. The record is from RNAcentral.
UGGGGGUUAAAGGCAUGAGACACCAGGCCUUGCUUAAGGAAAAGAUUCUUAAGUGGGUGUCAUGAUGGAAGGUAGAAUGCACCGUUGUCCGAAGUAAGGAAUAGUGGAGACCAUUCAGUUGAAUCACAUUUGGAUUUCACAGAAGUUCAGCCUGGACACUGGUGAGCUGUCCUCAUUCAGUAGGGUUCCCCUCCACAGAUGGUUGUGAUUUUUCUAUAAAAGUACCAUACCCUCUUCAGAAACAGAACUCUGCCACAGAAACACAGGCAUAAAAUCCAGAGUCAAGCCUGCCGCUUCAAACAAGUCACCUUCUAAUGUAAACUUGCCCUACAUAAUGUAUGAAACAUCUCACCCGGGGUGACGAGGCACAGUCUUUGUCCUGGGUUUGGUUCUGAUGUCAGUGUGGCUGCUCUAGCUGCCUUCACCAUGGUUUGCAUGCUCCCGCCCCUGAGGUUGGGUGUCGUAGCGCAUAGCAAUAAUAUAAAAUACUGGGUUUCAUUGUGUAAGGUUUUCUUUGCUGUUGCUUGCUUGUUUAGACCAGGGUUCCUUUAGCGGAGAAUGACCUUGAACUUGUGGUCCUGCCACCUAUAACCUCGUGUUGGGAUCACAAGCAUGCGCCAUCACACCCAGUUUAAGAGAUGCUGCGAGUCAAGGUAAGCACUUGGUACAUGCUAGGCAAGCACUCGCCCAUUAGGCUGCAUCCCCAGGCCCUUGCGAUAUCUUCAUGCAUGUAUAUAACAUAGCUUGAUAAUACCCGCUUAAGGUUUUUUAACUUACUAUUUUUGUGUGUAUCUGAAUGUGCCUGCAUGAGGUUAGGUGCACCAUGUUGCAAGCAGGAGCCUUAGGAGGCCGUGAGCCCCUCUGAGCUAGAAAUGCAGACAGUUUUUGAGGCCCCAUGUUUGUGCUGGAAAUUGAACCCGGAUCCUCUGGAAGAGCAGCAAUGCUCUGAACCUCUGAGCCACCUCUCCAGUUAGGAUGGGUGUUUUUACAAAGCUUCCUGGUUGAUUCUGAAGUGAAGUUGGGGUUAGGAAACACAGAACACACCCUGGAGCUGGGAAACAUCAGACCCUUUCCUGUCACCAAGUGUUUGAUGGCAUUCCUUAGACUUGAAAAACCUGGGGCCCCUUUAAAGAAUAAAGCUUCUUUGGUGUCUCCCAUUGUUGGC